Molecule: ribosomal RNA, 460 nt
Filed under: uncultured bacterium
Lineage: Bacteria
Description: partial 16S ribosomal RNA
Rfam family: Bacterial small subunit ribosomal RNA
Source: RNAcentral
CCUACGGGAGGCAGCAGUGAGGAAUAUUGGUCAAUGGGCGAGAGCCUGAACCAGCCAAGUCGCGUGAAGGAUGACGGCCCUACGGGUUGUAAACUUCUUUUGUCAGGGCGCAAUUGGGUCCAUUCGUGGGCUUAGCGAGAGUACCUGAAGAAAAAGCAUCGGCUAACUCCGUGCCAGCAGCCGCGGUAAUACGUAGGUUGCGAGCGUUAUCCGGAGUUGUUGGGUUUAAUGGGUGCGUAGGCGGAAUAUCAAGUCAGCGGGAAAAAUUCGGGGCUCAACCCCGUCGUGCAGUUGAAACUGAUGUUCUUGAGUGGGCGAGAAGUAUGCGGAAUGCGUGGUGUAGCGGUGAAAUGCAUAGAUAUCACGAAGAACUCCGAUUGCGAAGGCAGCAUACCGGCGACCAACUGACGCUGAAGCACGAAAGCGUGGGUAUCGAACAGGAUUAGAUACCCUAGUAGUC